UACGAAGGGGGCUAGCGUUGCUCGGAAUCACUGGGCGUAAAGGGUGCGUAGGCGGGUCUUUAAGUCAGGGGUGAAAUCCUGGAGCUCAACUCCAGAACUGCCUUUGAUACUGAGGAUCUUGAGUUCGGGAGAGGUGAGUGGAACUGCGAGUGUAGAGGUGAAAUUCGUAGAUAUUUCGCAAGAACACCAGUGGCGAAGGCGGCUCACUGGCCCGAUACUGACGCUGAGGCACGAAAGCGUGGGGGAGCAAACAGG
This 255-nucleotide ribosomal RNA is filed under the name uncultured bacterium. Its description in RNAcentral is "partial 16S ribosomal RNA". It matches the Rfam family "Bacterial small subunit ribosomal RNA", at positions 524 to 776 of the family's 1533-position model. The record is from RNAcentral.